Molecule: non-coding RNA, 72 nt
Organism: Albula goreensis
Lineage: Eukaryota; Metazoa; Chordata; Actinopteri; Albuliformes; Albulidae
Source: the annotation of a GenBank genome assembly
GGGGAUGUUGUGCCAUGGUAGCAGGUAUGCUUUGCAUGUAUGAGGCCCAGGGUUCAAUCCCCUGCGUCUGCA